ACAUCUAAUGCUGGUUUGUAAUAGUUACUUUCAAGUAUAUAUAUUGGGGUUGGUUAACGUACAAUUGACCUUAACGUACUAUGCGUACGCAAUGAAAAUAUAACAUGCGGAAUUGAGGUCAUAACAUGCGGAUUUAAACACACAAACUCGGAAGACUACCAAACCCGGAACACUCACCAUGCGGCUUCACAAAAUCCGGACAACCUAUUACAUGUGGAUUCACAAAAUCGGAAAAUAUAACAUGCGAACUUCCACAACUCGGAAAAUAUAAUAUACGACUUCACAAACCCGGACACCUAUAACAUGCGGCUUCACAAACUCGGAAAAAUAUAACAUGCGGAUUAAGGCCAAUUGUACACUACACUUUCUCUCUGUAUAUAUAUUUUCAAAUUUCAUUUUUCAAACUUAUAGAUAUAUAUAUUUUUUUCACAUAACCUAUUUUUGCAUGUGACAUCUGACGUGGCAGCUGGUAAAUAGGGAUGGUGAGACAGUUGGUCUUUAUAGCUAUGCACAAUGCACGGAGGCAAACUGCUGUUGUAAAACUCCUAAAACUGAAUUUAGCUCUCACACAAAUACUGAUACAUCAUCAAAGAUUACAUUACGGUUUCAUUCAGGUCAUUAUCAUGACCGUUAUGAAGAGCUCACCAAGGAAUUUCUUCCUGAUCUGAUCAUCGCUCCAAAUGCUGGUAUUGCUGCUUACAAAAGCUGGUUACCAACUAUUGAACUGAUACGUGAAAUAGAGAUCCCAACCGUUUUUUUCUGAUUAUUGUGAAGAAGCUUGUCAUCUUGCAGCCAACUGUAUACGCUCUGUGACUGGUACUCCACUCACGAUUCCAGU
This is a long non-coding RNA of Helianthus annuus (common sunflower), 838 nucleotides long. RefSeq lists it as uncharacterized. Lineage: Eukaryota; Viridiplantae; Streptophyta; Magnoliopsida; Asterales; Asteraceae. The record is from RefSeq and is a predicted model, not a curated record. The transcript has 3 exons.